RNAcentral lists this transfer RNA (70 nucleotides) under Bathygobius cocosensis (Cocos frill goby). Its description in RNAcentral is "tRNA-Glu". It matches the Rfam family "tRNA". Rfam says of the family: Transfer RNA (tRNA) molecules are approximately 80 nucleotides in length. Their secondary structure includes four short double-helical elements and three loops (D, anti-codon, and T loops). Lineage: Eukaryota; Metazoa; Chordata; Actinopteri; Gobiiformes; Gobiidae. The record is from RNAcentral.
GGUUCUUGUAGUUGAAGUAACAACGGUGGUUUUUCAAGUCGCUGGUCUCGGUUAGAGUCCGAGCAGGAAU